GAUUAUUGACAAAAAAAUCACAAAUCCAUUUUAAUUCCAAUUUGUAACAAUAAAAAGACACUGUCUAGUGGUGUCACCUGUCACUGUCACCUGGUCUAGUGGUAUAACUGGUUCUAUACAGGUGAGUGUUCACCUGGUCUAGUGGUAUAACUGGUUCAGUAGAGGUGAGUGUUGUCUAGUGGUAUAACUGGUUCUAUACAGGUGAGUGUUCACCUGGUCUAGUGGUAUAACUGGUUCAGUAUAGGUGAGUGUUCACCUGGUCUAGUGGUAUAACUGGUUCAGUAUAGGUGAGUGUUGUCUAGUGGUAUAACUGGUUCAGUAUAGGUGAGUGUUCACCUGGUCUAGUGGUAUAACUGGUUCUAUACAGGUGAGUGUUGUCUAGUGGUAUAACUGGUUCAGUAGAGGUGAGUGUUGUCUAGUGGUAUAACUGGUUCUAUACAGGUGAGUGUUCACCUGGUCUAGUGGUAUAACUGGUUCUAUAGAGGUGAGUGUUGUCUAGUGGUAUAACUGGUUCAGUAUAGGUGAGUGUUCACCUGGUCUAGUAGUAUAACUGGUUCAGUAUAGGUGAGUGUUGUCUAGUGAUAUUACUGGUUCAGUAUAGGUGAGUGUUGUCUAGUGGUAUUACUGGUUCAACUGAGUUAGCGGGAGCAGACAUACAUGAAAAUGUAAAACACUCAACUUUACAAUUUAAUCAAGAAAUCAAAGCAUAUACAAUUGAUGGUGCAUUCACAGUUCACCAAAUAGAUGUGCAACUAUUUUACUUUCCACAUGACAAUUUGUAUUGCACUUGCAGGUUUGUUAAUAAAUGAAUGACUGAGGAAACAGAAUAUAGAGCCUAGUAAAAUCCCUUCAUAGUAUUUACAUGAUCUCAACCUCUUGGUAUUCAAAUCUGUAGUGUUCUUCAGAUUCCCUUUCCUGACAACUGAUGUGGUAUUAUUCUACUGUACAUUGUUCUGCCCACCAGGUAACUGGUUGAACAUGUUUCCUGGUCCCAGAGCAUCCCUCUGUUUGCUGGCAUAUCAAAUCUCUGUCCCAAAUGACCCAUAGGGCUUUGGUCAAAAGUAGGGCACUAUAUAGGGAAUGGGGUCCCAUUUGGGACACGGCCUCUGGUCAAAAGUAGUGCACUAUAUAGGGAAUGGGGGUCCCAUUUGGGACAAGACCUCUGGUCAAAAGUAGUGCACUAUAUAGGGAAUAGGUUGCUAUGUGAUACAUUUUCUCAGGUGUCCUGGUUAAGUCAAUAGUGGAGAAUAGUGUAUUUUAUAAAACUUUACUGUGACUACUAUUCAAGUCUUUCUAGAAUGAUCAGAUCUCUACAUUCAGUGGCCAGUUUAUAAGGUACACCACCCCCGUUCACGAAAAUGGUUCGUUCCUACAGUCAGUGAGUCACGUGGCCUUGGGCUUGUUAUAUAAAGCAGGCAGACAGGCAUCAAGGCAUUCAGUUACUGUUUGAUUAAACGUUAGAAUGGGCAAAACCAGUGACCUAAGUGAAUUUGAGCGUGGUAUGAUCAUCGUUGCCAGGCGAGCCGGUUCCAGUACCUCAGAAACAGCCGGCCACCCUGGCCUUUUCACGCACGACAUUGCCUAGGGUUUACAGAGAAUGGUGCGACAAACAAAAAACAUCCAGUCAGCGGCAGUGCUGUGGAUGAAAACAGCUCGUUGAUGAGAGAUGUCCAAGGAGGAUGGCAAGAAAUGUGCAAGCUAACAGGUGGAACACAAACAGGAAAAUAACGGCGCAGAACAACGGCGUCUCGAAACCCACAACUCGUCGGUCCUUGUCACGGAUUGGCUAUUGCAGCAGACGACCACCCUGGGUUCCUAUCAGCUAAAAACAAGAAGAAGAUGCUCCAGUGGGCAGGCCAUCACCAACACUGGGUUCCUAUCAGCUAAAAACAAGAAGAAGAUGCUCCAGUGGGCAGGCCAUCACCAACACUGGGUUCCUAUCAGCGUAAAA
RNAcentral lists this long non-coding RNA (1951 nucleotides) under Salmo salar (Atlantic salmon). RNAcentral describes it as "lncRNA (ENSSSAG00000084429.1)". The record is from RNAcentral. Lineage: Eukaryota; Metazoa; Chordata; Actinopteri; Salmoniformes; Salmonidae.